This 482-nucleotide ribosomal RNA is filed under the name uncultured bacterium. RNAcentral's name for it is "partial 16S ribosomal RNA". It matches the Rfam family "Bacterial small subunit ribosomal RNA", at positions 30 to 507 of the family's 1533-position model. The record is from RNAcentral.
AUUGAACGCUGGCGGCAUGAUUUACACAUGCAAGUCGAACGGUAACAGGCCGCAAGGUGCUGACGAGUGGCGCACGGGUGCGUAAUGCAUCGGAACGUGCCCAGUCGUGGGGGAUAACUACUCGAAAGAGUAGCUAAUACCGCAUACGAUCUAUGGAUGAAAGCGGGGGACCGUAAGGCCUCGCGCGAUUGGAGCGGCCGAUGUCAGAUUAGGUAGUUGGUGGGGUAAAGGCUCACCAAGCCAACGAUCUGUAGCUGGUCUGAGAGGACGACCAGCCACACUGGGACUGAGACACGGCCCAGACUCCUACGGGAGGCAGCAGUGGGGAAUUUUGGACAAUGGGCGCAAGCCUGAUCCAGCAAUGCCGCGUGCAGGAAGAAGGCCUUCGGGUUGUAAACUGCUUUUGUACGGAACGAAACGGCUCUGGUUAAUACCCGGGGCUAAUGACGGUACCGUAAGAAUAAGCACCGGCUAACUACGUG